This is a ribosomal RNA of 2957 nucleotides. It matches the Rfam family "Bacterial large subunit ribosomal RNA".
AGCGUACACGGUGGAUGCCCUGGCAGUCAGAGGCGAUGAAGGACGUGCUAAUCUGCGAUAAGCGCCGGUAAGGUGAUAUGAACCGUUAUAACCGGCGAUUUCCGAAUGGGGAAACCCAGUGUGAUUCGUCACACUAUCAUUAACUGAAUCCAUAGGUUAAUGAGGCGAACCGGGGGAACUGAAACAUCUAAGUACCCCGAGGAAAAGAAAUCAACCGAGAUUCCCCCAGUAGCGGCGAGCGAACGGGGAGGAGCCCAGAGCCUGAAUCAGCAUGUGUGUUAGUGGAAGCGUCUGGAAAGGCGCGCGAUACAGGGUGACAGCCCCGUACACAAAAGCGCAUGUGCUGUGAGCUCGAUGAGUAGGGCGGGACACGUGGUAUCCUGUCUGAAUAUGGGGGGACCAUCCUCCAAGGCUAAAUACUCCUGACUGACCGAUAGUGAACCAGUACCGUGAGGGAAAGGCGAAAAGAACCCCGGCGAGGGGAGUGAAAAAGAACCUGAAACCGUGUACGUACAAGCAGUGGGAGCCCCACCACUAAGCCAGUGGUGAACUCCACAUACGCAUCCUUUGCUGAGGAUACGGUUAACGGAGCGAAAGCGACGUUCAACCGCAAAAGAAGCAGAGGGGGCUUAGUGGUGGGGUGACUGCGUACCUUUUGUAUAAUGGGUCAGCGACUUAUAUUCUGUAGCAAGGUUAACCGAAUAGGGGAGCCGGAGGGAAACCGAGUCUUAAUUGGGCGUUAAGUUGCAGGGUAUAGACCCGAAACCCGGUGAUCUAGCCAUGGGCAGGUUGAAGGUUGGGUAACACUAACUGGAGGACCGAACCGACUAAUGUUGAAAAAUUAGCGGAUGACCUGUGGCUGGGGGUGAAAGGCCAAUCAAACCGGGAGAUAGCUGGUUCUCCCCGAAAGCUAUUUAGGUAGCGCCUCGUGAAUUCAUCUCCGGGGGUAGAGCACUGUUUCGGCUAGGGGGCCAUCCCGGCUUACCAACCCGAUGCAAACUGCGAAUACCGGAGAAUGUUAUCACGGGAGACACACGGCGGGUGCUAACGUCCGUCGUGAAGAGGGAAACAACCCAGACCGCCAGCUAAGGUCCCAAAGUCAUGGUUAAGUGGGAAACGAUGUGGGAAGGCCCAGACAGCCAGGAUGUUGGCUUAGAAGCAGCCAUCAUUUAAAGAAAGCGUAAUAGCUCACUGGUCGAGUCGGCCUGCGCGGAAGAUGUAACGGGGCUAAACCAUGCACCGAAGCUGCGGCAGCGAACGUAUCACUUAAAGCGAUUCAGCGGGUUACGACUGACGGAGCGAAGCGACGUCAAAGCGUAUACAAAGUCGAGUCGGUUUAAGGAUACGUUCGUUGGGUAGGGGAGCGUUCUGUAAGCCUGUGAAGGUGGCCUGUGAGGGUUGCUGGAGGUAUCAGAAGUGCGAAUGCUGACAUAAGUAACGAUAAAGCGGGUGAAAAGCCCGCUCGCCGGAAGACCAAGGGUUCCUGUCCAACGUUAAUCGGGGCAGGGUGAGUCGACCCCUAAGGCGAGGCCGAAAGGCGUAGUCGAUGGGAAACGGGUUAAUAUUCCCGUACUUGGUGUUACUGCGAAGGGGGGACGGAGAAGGCUAUGUUGGCCGGGCGACGGUUGUCCCGGUUUAAGCGUGUAGGUGUGUGUUCCAGGUAAAUCCGGUUCACUUUAACACUGAGGCGUGAUGACGAGGCACUACGGUGCUGAAGCAACAAAUGCCCUGCUUCCAGGAAAAGCCUCUAAGCAUCAGGUAACAUCAAAUCGUACCCCAAACCGACACAGGUGGUCAGGUAGAGAAUACCAAGGCGCUUGAGAGAACUCGGGUGAAGGAACUAGGCAAAAUGGUGCCGUAACUUCGGGAGAAGGCACGCUGACACGUAGGUGAAGUGAUUUACUCACGGAGCUGAAGUCAGUCGAAGAUACCAGCUGGCUGCAACUGUUUAUUAAAAACACAGCACUGUGCAAACACGAAAGUGGACGUAUACGGUGUGACGCCUGCCCGGUGCCGGAAGGUUAAUUGAUGGGGUCAGCGCAAGCGAAGCUCCUGAUCGAAGCCCCGGUAAACGGCGGCCGUAACUAUAACGGUCCUAAGGUAGCGAAAUUCCUUGUCGGGUAAGUUCCGACCUGCACGAAUGGCGUAAUGAUGGCCAGGCUGUCUCCACCCGAGACUCAGUGAAAUUGAACUCGCUGUGAAGAUGCAGUGUACCCGCGGCAAGACGGAAAGACCCCGUGAACCUUUACUAUAGCUUGACACUGAACAUUGAGCCUUGAUGUGUAGGAUAGGUGGGAGGCUUUGAAGUGUGGACGCCAGUCUGCAUGGAGCCGACCUUGAAAUACCACCCUUUAAUGUUUGAUGUUCUAACGUGGACCCGUAAUCCGGGUUGCGGACAGUGUCUGGUGGGUAGUUUGACUGGGGCGGUCUCCUCCUAAAGAGUAACGGAGGAGCACGAAGGUUGGCUAAUCCUGGUCGGACAUCAGGAGGUUAGUGCAAUGGCAUAAGCCAGCUUGACUGCGAGCGUGACGGCGCGAGCAGGUGCGAAAGCAGGUCAUAGUGAUCCGGUGGUUCUGAAUGGAAGGGCCAUCGCUCAACGGAUAAAAGGUACUCCGGGGAUAACAGGCUGAUACCGCCCAAGAGUUCAUAUCGACGGCGGUGUUUGGCACCUCGAUGUCGGCUCAUCACAUCCUGGGGCUGAAGUAGGUCCCAAGGGUAUGGCUGUUCGCCAUUUAAAGUGGUACGCGAGCUGGGUUUAGAACGUCGUGAGACAGUUCGGUCCCUAUCUGCCGUGGGCGCUGGAGAACUGAGGGGGGCUGCUCCUAGUACGAGAGGACCGGAGUGGACGCAUCACUGGUGUUCGGGUUGUCAUGCCAAUGGCACUGCCCGGUAGCUAAAUGCGGAAGAGAUAAGUGCUGAAAGCAUCUAAGCACGAAACUUGCCCCGAGAUGAGUUCU